UAAAGAGACUAACUAUAUAUAUAAAACAAGAAUUAAAGGGACGAAGAAGAAGUCAUACACUUUUACACUACGCGGCUUUUACUUUACUAAUGGAGGCACGCCUCUCACUUUCCAGUUUACUAUAUGCGUUAUAUAAGAACCAAACUACAAAGUGGGAUUAGACAACAAUAAAGUUAGAUACCUUCUCCCGUUCUCCGGUCUCAUAUUCACACCAACCUAAAAAUUACUUAUAUAAGAAAAAAUUAAUCAAGCCCUCUCUUUAGUAAUCAAGAGAACGAAAAAAAAA
RNAcentral lists this long non-coding RNA (286 nucleotides) under Capsella rubella. RNAcentral describes it as "long non-coding RNA (CRUB_LNC001860)". The record is from RNAcentral. Lineage: Eukaryota; Viridiplantae; Streptophyta; Magnoliopsida; Brassicales; Brassicaceae.